GCAACAUCAUCCUUAAGUCCAGAUCAGCGAGGUUAGAGCAUCUAACUUGCAAGGUAAUAGAUCUGAUCUAUUAUUUAAUACAUACAUUAGAUGUAGCUAGUAUAGAAACAUGUUGAUAUGAUCAACAUGUAGUUCAUACUAUAUUUAUAUAUAUUUUAAUUUUUGAUUUAAUGCUAUGUAAUAAUCAUGUAAUAGGAUCUUAGAUCUAGGGAUUUUCUGAUCUUAAAAAAUAAAUUUUGAUUUAUUUUAGUCUUCCACUGUAUGAUCUUGAAAAAGUUUCAAGAUCUAACCCUGAAACCUUAGAUCUGGUUCC
This 313-nucleotide long non-coding RNA is filed under the name Elaeis guineensis (African oil palm). RNAcentral's name for it is "long non-coding RNA (EGUI_LNC079770)". Lineage: Eukaryota; Viridiplantae; Streptophyta; Magnoliopsida; Arecales; Arecaceae. The record is from RNAcentral.